GGGAAUCACAGUCUCCAAGCUCUUCUAUUGUAUUCGUCUUUAUGUAGGGAACUUUAAUUUCCUCCAAGGCUUUCAGAAGCUCCUCACGCUUCCCUGCUUCCUGAACCAAAACCACUCUCGUUUCUAUUUGAGGCAUUUCUUCUUCAACAUCCACAACAGAUCCAGGAAACACAUUCUCUUUGGAGUUUUCUACAACUUUUGAAUCAAGAACAGAAGAAUCAGCCAAGAGGCUCCUCCCGCUUUCAGACACCAGCGUACUGCUGUCAGCCAUGGUUACUUCUUUCCUUC
Molecule: long non-coding RNA, 288 nt
Filed under: Gallus gallus (chicken)
Lineage: Eukaryota; Metazoa; Chordata; Aves; Galliformes; Phasianidae
Source: RNAcentral